Molecule: ribosomal RNA, 2360 nt
Filed under: uncultured Burkholderia sp.
Lineage: Bacteria; Pseudomonadati; Pseudomonadota; Betaproteobacteria; Burkholderiales; Burkholderiaceae
Description: partial contains 16S ribosomal RNA, 16S-23S ribosomal RNA intergenic spacer, and 23S ribosomal RNA
Rfam family: Bacterial small subunit ribosomal RNA (bases 1-1506)
Source: RNAcentral
AUUGAACGCUGGCGGCAUGCCUUACACAUGCAAGUCGAACGGCAGCACGGGUGCUUGCACCUGGUGGCGAGUGGCGAACGGGUGAGUAAUACAUCGGAACAUGUCCUGUAGUGGGGGAUAGCCCGGCGAAAGCCGGAUUAAUACCGCAUACGAUCUACGGAUGAAAGCGGGGGACCUUCGGGCCUCGCGCUAUAGGGUUGGCCGAUGGCUGAUUAGCUAGUUGGUGGGGUAAAGGCCUACCAAGGCGACGAUCAGUAGCUGGUCUGAGAGGACGACCAGCCACACUGGGACUGAGACACGGCCCAGACUCCUACGGGAGGCAGCAGUGGGGAAUUUUGGACAAUGGGCGAAAGCCUGAUCCAGCAAUGCCGCGUGUGUGAAGAAGGCCUUCGGGUUGUAAAGCACUUUUGUCCGGAAAGAAAUCCUUGGCUCUAAUACAGUCGGGGGAUGACGGUACCGGAAGAAUAAGCACCGGCUAACUACGUGCCAGCAGCCGCGGUAAUACGUAGGGUGCGAGCGUUAAUCGGAAUUACUGGGCGUAAAGCGUGCGCAGGCGGUUUGCUAAGACCGAUGUGAAAUCCCCGGGCUCAACCUGGGAACUGCAUUGGUGACUGGCAGGCUAGAGUAUGGCAGAGGGGGGUAGAAUUCCACGUGUAGCAGUGAAAUGCGUAGAGAUGUGGAGGAAUACCGAUGGCGAAGGCAGCCCCCUGGGCCAAUACUGACGCUCAUGCACGAAAGCGUGGGGAGCAAACAGGAUUAGAUACCCUGGUAGUCCACGCCCUAAACGAUGUCAACUAGUUGUUGGGGAUUCAUUUCCUUAGUAACGUAGCUAACGCGUGAAGUUGACCGCCUGGGGAGUACGGUCGCAAGAUUAAAACUCAAAGGAAUUGACGGGGACCCGCACAAGCGGUGGAUGAUGUGGAUUAAUUCGAUGCAACGCGAAAAACCUUACCUACCCUUGACAUGGUCGGAAUCCUGCUGAGAGGUGGGAGUGCUCGAAAGAGAACCGGCGCACAGGUGCUGCAUGGCUGUCGUCAGCUCGUGUCGUGAGAUGUUGGGUUAAGUCCCGCAACGAGCGCAACCCUUGUCCUUAGUUGCUACGCAAGAGCACUCUAAGGAGACUGCCGGUGACAAACCGGAGGAAGGUGGGGAUGACGUCAAGUCCUCAUGGCCCUUAUGGGUAGGGCUUCACACGUCAUACAAUGGUCGGAACAGAGGGUUGCCAACCCGCGAGGGGGAGCUAAUCCCAGAAAACCGAUCGUAGUCCGGAUUGCACUCUGCAACUCGAGUGCAUGAAGCUGGAAUCGCUAGUAAUCGCGGAUCAGCAUGCCGCGGUGAAUACGUUCCCGGGUCUUGUACACACCGCCCGUCACACCAUGGGAGUGGGUUUUACCAGAAGUGGCUAGUCUAACCGCAAGGAGGACGGUCACCACGGUAGGAUUCAUGACUGGGGUGAAGUCGUAACAAGGUAGCCGUAUCGGAAGGUGCGGCUGGAUCACCUCCUUUCCAGAGCUAUCUCGCAAAGUUGAGCGCUCACGCUUAUCGGCUGUUGAUAAAGACAGAAAGACUGUCUGUUAGCGGUUUAAUCGGUUAUAAUGCCGGCCGCUUUCGAUAAUCAUCAAUGACAAACAUUCGAAUGAAGUUUGGUUCGAGUUUUUCUCAUUGGCGAUUGAGCCAGUCAGAGCGGUACGUAGUACGUAUCGGCUGUCGUUCUUUAACAAUCUGGAAGAAGUAAGUAAUUUGGAUAGCGGAAGCGUCUUGAGAUGGACGUGAAAACUAUCCGGGUUGUGAUUGUAUCGAUGUAUCUCAAGAUGAUUCGAACUCUAUGUUCGACUUAAAUUGGAAUACGGCACAACGCGAGAACUCAACCUGUAGCGACUGUCGAUGAGACAGACUCGUUAUAGGGUCAAGCGAACAAGUGCAUGUGGUGGAUGCCUUGGCGAUCACAGGCGAUGAAGGACGCGGUAGCCUGCGAAAAGCUACGGGGAGCUGGCAAACAAGCUUUGAUCCGUAGAUGUCCGAAUGGGGAAACCCACUCCUUUUGGAGUAUCCAUGGCUGAAUACAUAGGCCAUGUGAAGCGAACGCGGUGAACUGAAACAUCUAAGUAACCGCAGGAAAAGAAAUCAACCGAGAUUCCCAAAGUAGUGGCGAGCGAAAUGGGAUGAGCCUUGCACUCUUUAUUUGUAUUGUUAGCCGAACGCUCUGGAAAGUGCGGCCAUAGCAGGUGAUAGCCCUGUAGGCGAAAACAGUAUGAAAGAACUAGGUGUGCGACAAGUAGGGCGGGACACGUGAAAUCCUGUCUGAAGAUGGGGGGACCAUCCUCCAAGGCUAAAUACUCGUGAUCGACCGAUAGUGAACC